CAGCCGCCACGGUAACACGUAGGGCGCAAGCGUUAUCCGGAAUUAUUGGGCGUAAAGAGCUCGUAGGCGGUUUGUCGCGUCUGCCGUGAAAGUCCGGGGCUCAACCCCGGAUCUGCGGUGGGUACGGGCAGACUAGAGUGAUGUAGGGGAGACUGGAAUUCCUGGUGUAGCGGUGAAAUGCGCAGAUAUCAGGAGGAACACCGAUGGCGAAGGCAGGUCUUUGGGCAUUAACUGACGCUGAGGAGCGAAAGCAUGGGGAGCGAACAGGAUUAGAUACCCCUGUAGUCCCUGUCUCUUAUAC
Molecule: ribosomal RNA, 301 nt
Filed under: uncultured bacterium
Lineage: Bacteria
Description: partial 16S ribosomal RNA
Rfam family: Bacterial small subunit ribosomal RNA
Source: RNAcentral